This 253-nucleotide ribosomal RNA is filed under the name uncultured bacterium. RNAcentral's name for it is "partial 16S ribosomal RNA". It matches the Rfam family "Bacterial small subunit ribosomal RNA", at positions 524 to 776 of the family's 1533-position model. The record is from RNAcentral.
UACAGAGGUCUCAAGCGUUGUUCGGAUUCAUUGGGCGUAAAGGGUGUGUAGGUGGCGCGCUAAGUCGGGUGUGAAAUUUCGGAGCUUAACUCCGAAACUGCAUUCGAUACUGGCGUGCUUGAGGACUGGAGAGGAGACUGGAAUUCAUGGUGUAGCAGUGAAAUGCGUAGAGAUCAUGAGGAAGACCAGUGGCGAAGGCGGGUCUCUGGGACGGUACUGACGCUGAGACGCGAAAGCGUGGGGAGCGAACAGG